AAAAUGUGAUGUCGACACGUGUGGAUGUGUUACAGGCCCAGCUGUAGAGGCGCAGCCAGAUUACCAUCCUGUAAGACAGGAGAGAGAGUGAACACAGGAAACACGCUGCUGUUCGCCUGGUCAGUCGUACCAGAACCACAAGCUCACAGCAGCUGUGCGCACAACUCAGUCCCCACAGCACUCUGCUGCCCUCUGCUGUCCAGAGUCAUGUGACCUCCCCUGUAAUGCAAAACUAGUCUGACUGUGUGAACCUCAUUAUACCAGUAAACCAGCAAAGUGACACAUGCACAAUUACCUCCAUAUAUCACACCACUUAACUCACAGUUGUGACCACAUGUUUGUGUGGAUCACAGACGGCAGGUCCUAGGAGGUUAAGAUCAAACUACCUGCUGCUUCUCUCAUGUUUGUAUCAGAGGAGCUUCUGAUUAUAUACAGCUUUAAGCACUGAACGCACGUCUUAACUUUGCUAUUGUUCUGUAUUUAAUAUAUUUACUUUUAAUGCAUGUUACAGUAGUGGAUGAUGAGGUUUCAUGUUUUUAAUGUAACUUUCUGAUCUGUUGACUCAGUUCGUGCAGUUUUCAUGGACUUUGUGUUUCUCAUGUUUUUACUGUAAAAGUGCCUUCAGAUGGUUGUUGUUUCCUGCUGCUUCAUGAAUAAUCCUGCAGUGAAACUGAAUCUGAGCUGGACCCAAACAAACCUCACUGAGCUGAUGUGUAAACUGGAUCUAAGCAAGAAUCAAACUGCAUUAAAAACCUGACAGAAAACCUGCUCACUGACUUUCUCUCACUUUGACUCUGAAACUGUAACGAGAGACAACAUUUAGACAUUAAUUGUAAUUACAACAAGUUUGUACAGCUGUAGUCUCUUGAUGCUACGAACAGAAAACAAAAAAUAAAUAACUUGGUCAUAAAAAGGUGUCGGUGUAGCUGGCUCAACCAGGAUUUUGCACAAGGGCUCAGACAGCUGUGUUCAUGGUCGUACCUCAGUAUUUAUAGAGUCAGUGACCAAUCUAGAACUGGUUCUAUGUUCCCAUCAGGAAAAGAAAACAACUCACGUUUUCCAUCAGACAUCUUUGUGAAACCCACAGAAGCACACGAGAAGAUCAAGUGAGACCAAAGUUUAUUGAACCUGCAGAGAAACCAGAUCACUGCUGUGGAGACGACAGCACACUUAGAAAUAACAUAAAUAACAGCAAAGUUACUGAAGACAUGAAAACAUGGAUUACAUCUACAUUUUAGUUACAUAACACUUAUUAUUGUUUAUGUAUAAUUCAUGUCUUGGUCAUGCUUUUAUUCUGAAAGGCCUGGUGAAGAAAAUGUUAUUUUUUAACAUAAAAAUUAAAAAUUUUCAUUCACAUUUUUCCAACUUCUUUAUAAAAGAAAACAAUAACAACAACUUUCCAUUUGAACUUUCUGCCCUCAGUGGUUGUGUGAGGUUUCCUUCAUGAGGAGAACAAACAGAAUAUAAACCAGUGUGUUUGCAGUGAAUGUGUCAGGUCUGAGCUGCUGUGUGGACCAGUUAGAGAGCAGCAGCUGGAUUCCAGUGGUUGGACUGGUGGACGACUUCAGUGAGGAGUCGAUGACAUUUGGCUCUGGUAGAAACUCUGCACACACAAACACACAGGAGGAGAA
Oreochromis niloticus (Nile tilapia) is the source of this 1631-nucleotide long non-coding RNA. RefSeq lists it as uncharacterized. The record is from RefSeq and is a predicted model, not a curated record. The transcript has 2 exons. Lineage: Eukaryota; Metazoa; Chordata; Actinopteri; Cichliformes; Cichlidae.